This 85-nucleotide non-coding RNA is filed under the name Metapseudomonas resinovorans NBRC 106553. The record is from RNAcentral. Lineage: Bacteria; Pseudomonadati; Pseudomonadota; Gammaproteobacteria; Pseudomonadales; Pseudomonadaceae.
UCUAAUGGCGGAUCGCGUGGGGAGACCUCGCGGUCUGCCGGCUCCGUUUGCCCGGUUCGUCAACCCCACGCGAUUCGCCACCCUU